AACACAUCGGAAUCUACCUCGUCGGUGGGGGACAACGUAGGGAAACUUACGCUAAUACCGCAUACGACCUUUGGGUGAAAGCGGGGGACCAGCAAUGGCCCCGCGCGAUUGGAUGAGCCGAUGUCCGAUUAGCUAGUUGGCGGGGUAAUGGCCCACCAAGGCGACGAUCGGUAGCUGGUCUGAGAGGACGACCAGCCACACUGGAACUGAGACACGGUCCAG
RNAcentral lists this ribosomal RNA (222 nucleotides) under uncultured bacterium. RNAcentral's name for it is "partial 16S ribosomal RNA". It matches the Rfam family "Bacterial small subunit ribosomal RNA", at positions 112 to 334 of the family's 1533-position model. The record is from RNAcentral.